GGCGCCGGGCGCGCGCCGCCGGAGGCCCCAAACCUCUGUAUUUUACCCGCUCCGGCGGAUUCUCUCUGAGUGGCGAAAGCAAAUCAAAUCAAAACUUUCAACAACGGAUCUCUUGGCUCUGGCAUCGAUGAAGAACGCAGCGAAAUGCGAUAAGUAAUGUGAAUUGCAGAAUUCAGUGAAUCAUCGAAUCUUUGAACGCACAUUGCGCCCGCCAGUAUUCUGGCGGGCAUGCCUGUUCGAGCGUCAUUUCAACCCUCGCGCCCCCCGGCCCCGUGCCGGGCGGGCGCGGUGUUGGGGCUCGGCCGUCCCCCGCGGCGGCCGUCCCCGAAAUCCAGUGGCGGUCUCGCCCGCGGUCUCCCCUGCGUAGUAGCACACCUCGCUCUGGAGCCCCGGCGCGGCCACGCCGUAAAACCCCCCACUUCAAUGGUUGACCUCGGAUCAGG
This 443-nucleotide unclassified non-coding RNA is filed under the name Pezizomycotina sp. SM13-27-29-1. RNAcentral's name for it is "sequence contains ITS1, 5.8S rRNA gene, ITS2, 28S rRNA gene". The stretch from base 93 to 246 matches the Rfam family "5.8S ribosomal RNA". The record is from RNAcentral. Lineage: Eukaryota; Fungi; Ascomycota.